AGCAGCCGCGGUAAUUCCAGCUCCAAUAGCGUAUAUUAAAGUUGUUGCAGUUAAAAAGCUCGUAGUUGAAUUUCGGGGUUUAUCCGUUGGUCGGGCUUUUGGGUCUGUACUGGCGUGAUGGAUUCCUACCUUCCGAAUAACCAGCAUGUCAUUAAUUUGGUGCGUUGGGGAAGCAGGACUGUUACCUUGAAAAAAUUAGAGUGCUUAAAGCAGGCUAUUGCCUGAAUACAUUAGCAUGGAAUAAUGAAAUAGGACGCAUGGUCCUAUUUUGUUGGUUUCUAGGAUCACCGUAAUGAUUAAUAGGGAUAGUUGGGGGCAUUAGUAUUCAAUUGUCAGAGGUGAAAUUCUUGGAUUUAUUGAAGACUAACUACUGCGAAAGCAUUUGCCAAGGAUGUUUUCAUUAAUCAAGAACGAAAGUUAGGGGAUCGAAGACGAUCAGAUACCGUCGUAGUCUUAACCAUAAACUAUAGCCGACUAGGGAUCGGAUGAUGUUAAUUUUUAAUGACUCAUUCGGCGCCUU
This 520-nucleotide ribosomal RNA is filed under the name uncultured Acaulospora. Its description in RNAcentral is "SSU rRNA". It matches the Rfam family "Eukaryotic small subunit ribosomal RNA", at positions 569 to 1089 of the family's 1831-position model. Lineage: Eukaryota; Fungi; Glomeromycota; Glomeromycetes; Diversisporales; Acaulosporaceae. The record is from RNAcentral.